RNAcentral lists this long non-coding RNA (945 nucleotides) under Eucalyptus grandis. RNAcentral describes it as "long non-coding RNA (EGRA_LNC000984)". Lineage: Eukaryota; Viridiplantae; Streptophyta; Magnoliopsida; Myrtales; Myrtaceae. The record is from RNAcentral.
UGUUUGGCUUUACCAAAUAACCAAACCUUGUCCGCGUAUAGGGGCAUCCUCGUCCAAGUACUUUUUUGCUUUCUUUUCUUUCUUUUUUCUUUCUGCAUCUUUCACGCCUCUUUCACUCUGCCUCACAUCCUUCUUCAACGCCAUAAUCAGCCCCCUUCUCUUUGCCAUCUCGUUGUAUGAUCAGCACCAGCUUUUCUUCGAAGCAAGUCAUUACAGCAGAACCGAGCUUAUUGGAGAUUCUCAGUUUCACUCCUCAAUUUGGUUUGUCGAAGAUUCCACGAAACAAAAGCAGGUGAACUUACAAAAUUGAUUCCUUUAUUUCAAGAUUCAUUGCAAAUUACGGUCUGAUUUGAGCCUCUUCCUUUGAGGCACCCCACGCGCCCCUACAGAUGUUUGAAAUGCCUGAAUGGGUCUAUUAUGUUUUAGCAAUGCAUGAUUUCAAAUUUCUAAUGUGAUUAUACCUUUGUCCAGGGCUUCAGUAUAUCAAAUUGCCUGAAGCCAAUAAGUUGUUGAGCAAAAUAGGGAUUGCAGUUGCUGGGUUUGCGGAAGACUUAGGAUACAUCAAGUUUGAUGCACAUUGAAGGUGAGAGAAGAGAUGUCGCUGAAGGGAGAAGUUGCGUUGCCAGAGAGUUGGACAAAGAGGUGGUUGCGGAGUCUUGGCAGGGAAGAUGUUGCAAGGAAGAUGAAUCAGUUGGUAAUGAUAUUAGCUAUAGGCUUAAAAGGAGUUGUAGUGUUAUUGCUAGGAACAAGAGUGCACGAUAAUCAUAUAGGCAUAACAUUCACAACAGCUUGCGACCAACUUCUAGAAGCAAAUCAGAAAGGAUGUAGGCUGUCCGCUGAAAAGCGUUCUGUGAAACUGUCUCGCCAACUCUUUACUUGUUGAAGUUAAUGUAAAGCUUGAGUCUGUUAUAUUCAGUGUAUUUUCUCCAUUCUCUGCAAUUCAUC